GUCUAUGGCUGUGCCACCCUGAAUGUGCCUGAUCUCAUGAAGCUAAGCAGGGUUAUGCCUGGUUUGUACUUGGAUGGACACCACCUAGACAUACUGGGUGCUAAAGUCU
Otolemur garnettii (small-eared galago) is the source of this 109-nucleotide ribosomal RNA. The record is from Ensembl. NCBI's taxonomy places the organism in Eukaryota, Metazoa, Chordata, Mammalia, Primates, Galagidae.